GGUGAGUAACACGUGGGUAACCUGCCUGUAAGACUGGGAUAACUCCGGGAAACCGGGGCUAAUACCGGAUAACUUUUUUCUUCGCAUGAAGGAGAAUUGAAAGAUGGCUCCGGCUAUCACUUACAGAUGGACCCGCGGCGCAUUAGCUAGUUGGUGAGGUAACGGCUCACCAAGGCGACGAUGCGUAGCCGACUUGAGAGGGUGAUCGGCCACACUGGGACUGAGACACGGCCCAGACUCCUACGGGAGGCAGCAGUAGGGAAUCUUCCGCAAUGGACGAAAGUCUGACGGAGCAACGCCGCGUGAGUGAUGAAGGUUUUCGGAUCGUAAAACUCUGUUGUUAGGGAAGAACAAGUAUCGUUCGAAUAGGGCGGUACCUUGACGGUACCUAACCAGAAAGCCACGGCUAACUACGUGCCAGCAGCCGCGGUAAUACGUAGGUGGCAAGCGUUGUCCGGAAUUAUUGGGCGUAAAGCGCGCGCAGGCGGUUUCUUAAGUCUGAUGUGAAAUCUUGCGGCUCAACCGCAAGCGGCCAUUGGAAACUGGGAGACUUGAGUGCAGAAGAGGAGAGUGGAAUUCCACGUGUAGCGGUGAAAUGCGUAGAGAUGUGGAGGAACACCAGUGGCGAAGGCGACUCUCUGGUCUGUAACUGACGCUGAGGCGCGAAAGCGUGGGGAGCGAACAGGAUUAGAUACCCUGGUAGUCCACGCC
RNAcentral lists this ribosomal RNA (711 nucleotides) under uncultured bacterium. RNAcentral describes it as "bacterial SSU rRNA". It matches the Rfam family "Bacterial small subunit ribosomal RNA", at positions 105 to 801 of the family's 1533-position model. The record is from RNAcentral.